Molecule: ribosomal RNA, 117 nt
Filed under: Kosakonia oryzendophytica
Lineage: Bacteria; Pseudomonadati; Pseudomonadota; Gammaproteobacteria; Enterobacterales; Enterobacteriaceae
Description: 23S rRNA. Bacterial LSU
Rfam family: Bacterial large subunit ribosomal RNA
Source: RNAcentral
CUGAGACUUUAAGUCUCCUGAAGGAACGUUGAAGACGACGACGUUGAUAGGCCGGGUGUGUAAGCGCAGCGAUGCGUUGAGCUAACCGGUACUAAUGAACCGUGAGGCUUAACCUUA